GACGAACGCUGGCGGCGUGCUUAACACAUGCCAGUCGAACGGAAAGGCCCUGCUUUUGUGGGGUGCUCGAGUGGCGAACGGGUGAGUAACACGUGAGUAACCUGCCCUUGUCUUUGGGAUAACUUCAGGAAACUGGGGCUAAUGCCGGAUAGGAGCUCCUGCUGCAUGGUGGGGGUUGGAAAGUUUCGGCGGUUGGGGAUGGACUGGCGGCUUAUCGGCUUGUUGGUGGGGUAGUGGCUUACAAAGUCUUUGACGGGUAGCCGGCCUGAGAGGGUGAACGGGGUCCAUGGGCCUAAGAGAGGGCGCAGACGCCUACGGUAGGCAGCAGGGGGGAAUAUUGCACAAUGGGCGGAAGCGUGAUGCAGCAACGCCGCGUGCGGGAUGACGGCCUUCGGGUUGUGAACCGCUGUCGCCUGUGACGAAGCGGGAGUGACGGUAAUGGGUAAAGAAGCACCGGCUAACUACGUG
This 468-nucleotide ribosomal RNA is filed under the name uncultured bacterium. RNAcentral's name for it is "partial 16S ribosomal RNA". It matches the Rfam family "Bacterial small subunit ribosomal RNA", at positions 28 to 507 of the family's 1533-position model. The record is from RNAcentral.